AAUAACGCUAAUUGUAGAUAUUGAAAAUGACAACAAAAAUGACCGGUAUAAAUAGAGGAUCUUCAUACAAAAACAACAGUUAACCGUUGAAAUUGUGUACAUAGAAAUGCGUUUCGAAAUAGAGAUUUGUUUUUCUAUCUUAUUAAUAAUCGCAACUAAAAACAUCCAAACGAUUGCGUCCCCGAUUUUUACUGGCUUAGAAAACAGAAAUUUAAGCAAUUCAAGUGUAUUCAAAAAUCAUUUUAUAUCACACCCAUUAAUGUUUCGUGAUUUGCCAUCCACUAAAUAUGAUUUUAAGGAGGAACAACAAAAACGUAUGCUACUAUUUAAAUCAGAAAACAUCAAGAUUAAUGGAAUAAAAUGUGUAGAUCAAACACAAAGUUAUUAUUCUAUUUGGAAAAGUAAACGACUAUCUAAAUUUGUGAUAUGUGUGAUAUAUAUUUUUGCUGCAUUACUAAUUGCUUUAAUAAUUUUGUGUUGUAAAUAUACAGUGAGAUCAAAACGUAAACAGAAACCGAUCAAACCGAUCGUUUUAUCUUCAGAUCGCCGAUAUCAACUUGUUUAUAACUUGUAAUAAAAUAAUGAUAAAAAAAAUCGAAAUAAAGCAAAUUUAAUAAAGAUUUGGUGUGCCAAAAA
This is a long non-coding RNA of Onthophagus taurus, 636 nucleotides long. RefSeq lists it as uncharacterized. The record is from RefSeq and is a predicted model, not a curated record. NCBI's taxonomy places the organism in Eukaryota, Metazoa, Arthropoda, Insecta, Coleoptera, Scarabaeidae.